GACAUAUACAGGAAUAUGGCAGAGAUGUCAUAGCCGCAAGGUCUGUAUACAGGUGGUGCAUGGUUGUCGUCAGCUCGUGUCGUGAGAUGUUGGGUUAAGUCCCGCAACGAGCGCAACCCUCGUUCUGUGUUGCCAGCAUUUAGUUGGGGACUCACAGGAGACUGCCGGGGUUAACUCGGAGGAAGGUGGGGAUGACGUCAAAUCAUCAUGCCCCUUAUGUCUUGGGCUGCACGCAUGCUACAAUGGCUGGUACAAACGGCUGCAAUACCGCAAGGUGGAGCGAAUCCGAGAAAGCCAGUCUCAGUUCGGAUUGGGGUCUGCAACUCGACCCCAUGAAGUCGGAGUUGCUAGUAAUCGUAGAUCAGCAACGCUACGGUGAAUACGUUCCCGGGGCUUGUACACACCGCCCGUCACGUCACGAAAGUCGGUAACACCCGAAGUCAGUGGCCCAACCGCAAGGAGGGAGCUGCCGAAGGUG
Molecule: ribosomal RNA, 478 nt
Filed under: uncultured Actinomycetes bacterium
Lineage: Bacteria; Bacillati; Actinomycetota; Actinomycetes
Description: bacterial SSU rRNA
Rfam family: Bacterial small subunit ribosomal RNA
Source: RNAcentral